This 252-nucleotide ribosomal RNA is filed under the name uncultured bacterium. Its description in RNAcentral is "partial 16S ribosomal RNA". It matches the Rfam family "Bacterial small subunit ribosomal RNA", at positions 524 to 776 of the family's 1533-position model. The record is from RNAcentral.
UACGGGGGGGGCAAGCGUUGUUCGGAAUUACUGGGCGUAAAGGCUCGUAGGCGGCCAACUAAGUCGGAUGUGAAAUCCCCAGGCUUAACCUGGGAACUGCAUCCGAUACUGGAUGGCUUGAAUCCGGGAGAGGGAUGCAGAAUUCCAGGUGUAGCGGUGAAAUGCGUAGAUAUCUGGAGGAAUACCGGUGGCGAAGGCGGCAUCCUGGACCGGCAUUGACGCUGAUGAGCGAAAGCUAGGGGAGCAAACGGG